RNA transcript from Pongo pygmaeus (Bornean orangutan), 6521 nucleotides. It is a transcript of the gene named coiled-coil and C2 domain containing 1B, with no coding region annotated. The transcript has 28 exons. The record is from RefSeq and is a predicted model, not a curated record. Lineage: Eukaryota; Metazoa; Chordata; Mammalia; Primates; Hominidae.
CCCAGCGCCUCGGGCUGAGUGAGGGAGGAGGUUCGGUGGAGAGGCUGCAAGUGGGCGAGGGCGGGGCGCAGCGACCUCAUUUGAGCCGGUCGGUGGACGCCCCGGCGGAACCGCCCAGCGUUCCUGUCCUGCGCUACCUGCCCGAACGCGCCUGCGCGCUGCGAACCCCGCCCUGGUGUCACCUGUUGGAGCCCCCCGCCCGCGUAGCCGUGCACAUGCGCACUGCCGGCCGCCGGCCAGUGGGGUCACGUGUUGCGCGCGAGCCACCUCCCCUGCCGGCGCUUCCUGUCGCUACCGCUGCGGCCCAGGGCCCGCGGGAGCCCAGGGCGGUGCCGUGUGAGACAAGGCCAGGGUUUGGCUCGGAUUCACCGCGAGGUAUCUAGGCUGCUAUGAUGCCAGGGCCAAGACCUCGGAAGGGCCCUCAGGCCAGAGGCCAAGGGGUGGCCGCUGCCAAGCAGAUGGGGCUCUUUAUGGAGUUUGGCCCUGAGGACAUGCUGCUGGGCAUGGAUGAGGCUGAAGAUGAUGAGGACCUGGAGGCUGAGCUGCUGGCUCUCACAGGGGAAGCACAAACCACAGGCAAGAAGCCAGCACCCAAGGGGCAGGCCCCCCUGCCCAUGGCCCACAUCGAGAAGUUGGCGGCAGACUGUAUGCGGGAUGUGGAGGAGGAGGAGGAGGAAGGGCUGGAGGAAGAUGCAGAGCUGCUGACGGAGCUGCAGGAGGUCUUAGGUGUGGACGAGGAGACUGAGCCCCUGGAUGAUGAUGAGGUAGCUGACCCAGGCGGCUCUGAGAAGGAGAACGGCCUAGAAGACACUGAACCUCCAGUGCAGACAGCCAUCCUGACAGCUUCAGCCCCAGCAGCUCAGGCCGGAGCAUCUCAGGGGCUACACGCUUUGCUGGAGGAACGGAUCCACAACUACAGAGAGGCUGCGGCCAGUGCCAAGGAGGCAGGCGAAGCAGCCAAAGCCAGGCGCUGCGAGCGUGGCCUGAAGACCUUGGAGUCGCAGCUAGCCUCUGUGAGGAGAGGCAGAAAGAUCAAUGAGGAUGAGAUCCCACCUCCAGUGGCCUUAGGAAAGCGGCCCCUGGCCCCCCAGGAACCAGCCAACAGGAGCCCUGAGGCAGACCCUCCAGCUCCCCCUGCCUUGGAGUCAGACAACCCCUCCCAACCUGAGACCAGCCUCCCUGGCGUUUCUGCCCAGCCCGUUUCAGACUCAGACCCAGACCCGCGGGCCCUGCUGUCAUCCCGACAGAGAGAGUACAAAGCGGCUGCCCUCAGUGCCAAGCGGGCUGGAGAGCUAGACCGUGCCCGAGAGCUCAUGAGGAUUGGGAAGAGAUUUGGUGCUGUCCUGGAGGCCCUGGAGAAGGGGCAGCCUGUGGAUCUGAGUGCCAUGCCCCCGGCACCUGAGGAUCUGAAGCCCCGGCAGGCUUCUCAGGCCGCCACAGCACCCUCAGUCAUUCCCCCAGCCGUGGAGCGAAUGCAGCCAGUGAUGGCCCCUGAAGUCCCAGCAACCCCAGUGGCCCCUACAGAGUCACAGACAGUGCUGGAUGCCCUGCAGCAGAGGCUGAACAAGUACCGUGAGGCGGGCAUCCAGGCCCGGAGUGGUGGGGACGAGCGCAAGGCUCGGAUGCAUGAGCGCAUUGCCAAGCAAUAUCAAGAUGCUAUUCGAGCACACCGAGCAGGACGGAAAGUCAACUUUGCUGAGUUGCCUGUUCCUCCGGGAUUUCCCCCCAUCCCUGGCCUGGAGCCCCCUAUGGGUGUUGAGGAGGACGCAGUGGCAGCGACAUUGGCAGCUGCAGAGAAACUGGCUUCCGCAGAGGAUACAGCCCCAGCUCAUGAAGACGAGGACGAGCCUCCUGGGCACCUGCAGGGUGAGCCCCCAGCACAGGCCCCAGUGGCCAAGAAACCUGCACGGCCUACAGUCCCUUCAUCCCAGCGCCUGCCUGAGCCCAGGGCCUCAAGUUCUAAGGAGUCACCGAGUCCAUCUGUGCGGGAGCAGCUGGCACUGCUGGAGGCACGGAAACUGCAGUACCAACGGGCAGCCCUGCAGGCCAAGCGCAGCCAGGACCUGGAGCAGGCCAAAGCCCAUCUGCGGGUGGCCAAAUGUCUUGAGGCUCAGAUCAUCCAGGCCCGAUCUGGCAGACCUGUUGAUCUGUCCAAGGUGCCUUCACCCUUGACGGAUGAGGAGGGUGACUUCAUCCUCAUCCACCACGAGGACCUGCGACUCUCCCAGAAGGCGGAAGAGGUGUAUGCCCAGCUGCAAAAAAUGCUUCUGGAGCAACAAGAGAAGUGUCUGCUGUUCUCCAAGCAGUUCAUGCACCAGGGCAACGUGGCUGAGACCACCCGAUUUGAGAAGCUUGCUCAGGACUGCAAGAAACAGCUGGAGAUCCUGCAGCUGGCCCAGGCUCAGGGCCUUGACCCUCCCAGCCACCACUUUGAGUUGAAGACAUUCCAGACCGUGAGGAUCUUCUCAGAACUCAACAGCACAGAAAUGCAUCUGAUCAUUGUCCGGGGAAUGAACCUCCCAGCCCCUCCAGGGGUGACUCCCGAUGACCUGGAUGCUUUUGUGCGGUUUGAGUUUCACUACCCUAACUCGGACCAGGCUCAAAAAAGCAAAACAGCUGUGGUGAAGAACACAAACUCUCCAGAAUUUGAUCAACUCUUCAAACUAAACAUCAACCGAAACCACCGGGGCUUCAAGAGGGUGAUCCAGAGCAAAGGCAUCAAGUUUGAGAUCUUCCACAAAGGGUCCUUCUUCAGAAGCGACAAGCUGGUUGGCACAGCACACCUGAAACUGGAGCGGCUGGAGAAUGAGUGUGAGAUCAGAGAAAUUGUGGAGGUCCUGGAUGGAAGGAAGCCCACCGGGGGGAAGCUGGAGGUGAAGGUGAGGCUGCGGGAGCCUCUGAGUGGCCAGGAUGUGCAGAUGGUCACUGAGAACUGGCUGGUUCUGGAGCCCAGGGGCUUGUGAGGCGGAUCUCCAGCAAUCCUGAACUCAGCUCUGCUCUCCAUAUGACAUUUACACUGAGUUGCCCUUCCGAAACUAGAAGAGUAGAUUAAGCCCUUGAGUCUUCGAUUCACUUCUGUGAAUAAUCUGAAUAUAAAAGAUGAGUUCCAUGACAACAGGGCCCUCACUAAGCUGGCAGGCCCCUCCAUGGAUCACCGGCACCAAGGCGCUGUCCAGAUCAUUCAUGUACUGCGAGGGAAGGGGCUGGCCAUUGCUCCCUGCUUGAUAGCCAACCUAUACCACAGAGAGAAAAGGAGGAGAGGUUACUGAACAGAGAAGGCCUCUCCAGGGCUGAGGGCAAGGAGGCUGAGCAGGAAAAGGAGAUGUCCUUUUUGGCCAUAGGCUAGACAUAUGGCAAUGAAUACAAAUUUAUCCUCUUUUCUGGAUUGUCACUUAUCCUGUUGUUGACUCCUCCUGACCGACAACCAUGAGGCACUGGACCUCUUGGGGAAGAAGAGAAUAAACUUUCUGUAUCUAUAUGAUAUGUACAUUCAAAAAAAGGUCACUGCCCUGCUCCUCUCAUUCCCAGGUGAGCCUCUAAUACAGCUUUCAAGUUAAGGAGCAAAUUAAUACAGUGGGGAAAGAGCUUAGGAGUUGGCCAGAUCUGGGUUUUAAUCAGGAUUUUAUCAUUAUUUAUUUGCCUUGUAAUCUUGAGCAAGUUAAUCAGUCUCUGACCUUUAGUUUUGUUUGUUUGUUUGUUUUUGGAGACGGAGUUUCGCUCUUGUUGCCCAGGCUGGAGUUCAAUGGCAUGAUCUCGGCUCACCACAACCUCCACCUCCCAGGUUCAAGCAAUUCUCCGACCUCAGCCUCCUGAGUAGCUGGGAUUACAGGCAUGCGCCACCACGCCCGGUUAAUUUUGUAUUUUUAGUAGAGACGGGGUUUCUCCAUGUUGGUGGGGCUGGUCUCAAACUCCAGAUCUCAGGUGAUCUGCUCAUCUUGGCCAUCUUGGCCUCCCAAAGUGCUGGGAUUACAGGCGUGAGCCACCGCGCCCAGCCUAGUUUUUUUUUUUUUUGAGACAGAGUCUUGCUCUGUUGCCCAGGCUGGAUGGAGUGCAGUGGCGUGAUCUCGGCCCACUGUAACCUCUGCCUCCCGGGUUCAAGUGAUUCCCAUGCCUCAAGCCUCUCAAGCAGCUGGGACUACAGGCGUGCACCACCACGCCUUGGCUAAUUUUUGUAUUUUUAGUGGGUAUGGGGUUUCACCAUGUCACCCAGGCUGGUCUUGAAUUCCUGACCUCAAGUGAUCCACCUACCUCAGCCUCCCAAAAUGCUGGGAUUACAGGUGUGAGCCACUGUGCCUGGCCUAGUUUUCUUAUUAGUGAAAUAAGUCUAUUUUUUAAAGACUGUCGUGUUAUCUAAGAUAAUUAUAAGUGCAGAAUAACUGACCCAGCUUUCUGAAGAAUACAGCAAAGAUGGAAUGUACCACUCAGAGAUCUACUCUUCUUGAGUUCCAAUGCAAAGAAAUAUCUAACAGUUAGUUCACAGGAAGGAGGAUACAUCAGACGGCUGCAGGCUGCAACUGGCAGCAUUUCUUCCUGGUGAUUUCAGAUAGGAAUUGGAGUAUAAACGAGAAAGAUUUUUCUCAGAGAUAUUUUUUUCUUAUCCUACAGAGUCAACCCAGAAUGUGGCUCUUGGCCUAGCAAAAAGUUGUGUUCAAAGUGGGUCAAGAAUGCCAAGUUUCAUUUCCUUACCUCUGUCCAUCUGAUGACUUUUCCAUUUGCUUUAUAUUCUGAUCCAUGGAAUAUCUUCACAUUUGUUAUAGUCUCCAUAGACUUCCCAUCUAUAGGACUUACGACACUAAAAUAGAGGGAAAGGGAAGAUAGAAGCAGCUCUUGAAGUUAGAAAAGCCAUUUUUCCUAUCACGUUUUGCUGCAGAAGUCUUCCUGCUAAUUACACUGGGUACCCUGCUGAACACACCUGUGCAGCACAUCAAAGCAAGAAGAAGCCACUGUAUAAAAAUGUACAUGAACUGAGCUCUUGGGAAAGAAUCUAUGCACUGAAAUAAUUCAAAGAACACACGUGCAAAAAAGGAAUCAUUUUUCCAGGAGCUAGUUCUCUUUAACGUAAAGAAAUUGAUUAAUCAAACCUGCUCUUCUUCCAGUAUUCCUUCUUUCAGAGAAUGCAUGGUCACCCACUCAAUCUGGUUUUCACUCUGCUCCUGACUCUGUAAUGAUACUCGUCAUGAUAUAUUCUUCAUGUUUGCAUACCUAACUUACAAAUGAAGUUCUGAAGAGGAGGGAAGUUCUGAAGAGGAGGGAACUUCAGAACUCUAUGUGCUUAUAUUCCCAUUACUGACCCACCGCUUGGGACUUAGGAGUCUAAUAAUAUUUAUUAAGAAUAAUUUGCUGGGCAUGGUGGCUCAUGCCUGUAAUCCCAGCACUUUGGGAGGCCGAGGUGGGUGGACUGUCUGAGCUCAGGAGUUCGAGACCAGCAUCAGCAACAUAGCAAAACCCCACCUCUACUAAAAACACAGAAAAUUAGCCAGGCAGUAGUGGUACAAGCCUGUAAUCCCAGCUACUGGGUAGGCUGAGGCAUGAGAAUCGCCUUGAACCUGGGAGGCGGAGGUUGCAGUGAGCUGCGAUCGCACCACUGUACUCCAGCCUGUGUUACAGAGCAAGACUCUGCCUCCAAAAAAAAAAAAAGGAAUUAUCUGACCAAGUUGCUAAUUAUGACAGUGCUGGUGUAAACAAGUAUCUAUGUAUCUGUCAUAUUCCCUUUAGUGCUAAAUUAUCACUCCUAGAUUCCUAAACAAAAAGGCCACUUCUGAUAGUCAUUUCCUCCCUGAAAUACAACAAGUAUAAACACAUGGAGAUACACAUUCAUUCUGAUUAGGAUUCAAAAUAAUUGGCACAAAGAUUCUAAACUUUCCCUAACAAUUUUCAAACCUGUUUAUGUUCUUGAAUCUCUAUUUUUUUUUUUUUUUCUUGAGACAGAGUUUCGCUCUUGUUGCCCAGGCCAGAAUGCAGUGACAUGAUCUCGGCUCACCAAAACCUCCGCCUCCCGAUUCAAGUGAUGGUGAAGUCCUUCAUCUCUCGCAGUGCCUGCCUCAAGGAAUCCAUGUUCUCUGCAGUAAUCUGGACCAUAACACCAUCUAAGAAUCAGUACAAAGCCAAAGGAGAGGCAAAUGAAACACAGCACCUGGCAUCUAGCAAAUCCCUCUGAGUUAAAUGUAAACCUUAGCUCUGCUUUCCAAAGCUGACUGAUACAGAGGUUUUGCUCUUUGAGCUGAACCUCUUACUGAAAGUGUUGUGAGAAGCAACGCCAAGAUUAAAACACUUGCUUGUUGAUUUCACUUCAGACACAACUAAGAAUUUCUCCUGAGACUGCUUAAGGGGAGAACUUAAACACAGUCACAUUCUUCUUCUGGACACACUGAACAUUUUGUUCCUAUUUUCACCCCUGCAUUUAUCAUCCUCUGAUCAUAUUUAUUUGUUUGCAUCUCCACCUCUCUCACCUUAUUAUGACUGCCUGGCAUAGAGUGAAUGCCCAAUAAAUGUUUGCUAAAUAAAUCACUGAAUAAAUUAUA